CUUGUACACACCGCCCGUCACACCAUGGGAGUGGGUUCCACCAGAAGCCGGUCGCCUAACCGUAAGGGAGGCGCCGACCACGGUGAGAUUCAUGACUGGGGUG
This 103-nucleotide ribosomal RNA is filed under the name uncultured bacterium. RNAcentral's name for it is "partial 16S ribosomal RNA". It matches the Rfam family "Bacterial small subunit ribosomal RNA", at positions 1380 to 1482 of the family's 1533-position model. The record is from RNAcentral.